AAGCGGAGGAAAAGAAACCAACAGGGAUUGCCUCAGUAACGGCGAGUGAAGCGGCAAAAGCUCAAAUUUUAAAGCUGACAUCUUCGGUGUCCGCGUUGUAAUUUUGUGAGGCAUCUCCGGGUAGGGCGCCGGCCUAAGUUCCUUGGAACAGGACGUCACAGAGGGUGAGAAUCCCGUGCUUGGCUGGCUGUCCCCGUCCAUGUGAGGUGUCUUCGACGAGUCGAGUUGUUUGGGAAUGCAGCUCAAAAUGGGUGGUAAAUUUCAUCUAAAGCUAAAUAUUGGUGGGAGACCGAUAGCGCACAAGUAGAGUGAUCGAAAGAUGAAAAGCACUUUGAAAAUAGAGUUAAAAAGUACGUGAAAUUGUUGAAAGGGAAGCGCUUGAGAUCAGACUUCGGUAAGGGGUGAUCAGCCGUCCUUCUGGGCGGUGCACUUGCCCCCCUCCGGGCCAGCAUCGGUUGAGGCGGCGGGAUAAAGGUCCCGGGAAUGUGGCUCCUUCACGGGAGUGUUAUAGCCCGGGUGAAUGCCGCCAGCUUCGACCGAGGACCGCACCCGCAAGGGUUAGGAUGCUUGGCAUAAUGGUCUUCAGCGACCCGUCUUGAAACACGGA
Molecule: ribosomal RNA, 607 nt
Filed under: Morchella deliciosa
Lineage: Eukaryota; Fungi; Ascomycota; Pezizomycetes; Pezizales; Morchellaceae
Description: partial large subunit ribosomal RNA
Rfam family: Eukaryotic large subunit ribosomal RNA
Source: RNAcentral